Molecule: long non-coding RNA, 882 nt
Organism: Pan troglodytes (chimpanzee)
Lineage: Eukaryota; Metazoa; Chordata; Mammalia; Primates; Hominidae
Exons: 2
Source: RefSeq, a predicted model, not a curated record
UGUUCCCUCUGCCUGGUUCUGCUUCCUCCACUGUGAGAGCCUUCCCCUGUAAACUUCCUGCAAGCCGAAGUCUCUGUCGGAGUCUGUUUCCCAGUGCACCCAACUUGUGAUAGAAGGAGAGGCGCCCUGAAUUCCAUGCCGGGUCAUUACAGAGCCAGUGGCAGAGACUCUACGAGACCCAGCCCCACUGGCUGCAGCCCCUUCGGAUGCAUCUGCGAGAGCAGCCUGGCCGUCACCCGCCGGCCUGGCCCGUGCUGUCAGCCGGCCAGAGCGUGUCUGAAUCGAGGAAAGCUGACUGGGGCUCGAUUCACACUGACUCGAGCCGCAAGGCGAGUUUAUGGUUCUUGAUUACACCCAGCAGGGAGGCCUUCUUAGUGAUGAGAGAGAAAAUAUUCAACAACCUGUCUUUGCAAUGUGCUGAUCUCUUGGAGAGAGAGAGAGAGAGUGCAGAGAAAGUGGAGGAGGGGUUUCAAAGGAGGGUGAUUUAUGAGUGGAAAGAAGGCUUUUUAAAAAAAAUCCAGGGCUCCCCCAAACUGUCUCAACAUUUCCUCUUUCUCAUCGUUGGGUUUUGCCUUGGUAUAACUUUGAGGCACAGUGAUUGCAUCCCUGUGGGUUUCUGCAAGCUGGUGCAAAGCUUAAAAGGAUGCAGGCCCGGAAGGCACUAUAGUCCAUCCAGCCUUCACUCAGCAUUGCCUCGCAGCUGGGAGAGGUCCUGGACAGUGCUGCCUGCAGAGGCUCCGUGCAGCCCAAUCCCCAAGCCCUUCUCUCCUUCACAGCCCUUUUCACAUUCUGCUUCAUACUUAAACUGCAUCUGCUUGCACUCGGCACCCAAACACGGUGCCUGGCUCAUGCUCGGUGUUAAUAAAUGAACAAAUGUGUGAA